This 252-nucleotide ribosomal RNA is filed under the name uncultured bacterium. RNAcentral describes it as "partial 16S ribosomal RNA". It matches the Rfam family "Bacterial small subunit ribosomal RNA", at positions 524 to 776 of the family's 1533-position model. The record is from RNAcentral.
UACGUAGGGGGCUAGCGUUAUCCGGAAUUACUGGGCGUAAAGGGUGCGUAGGUGGUUUCUUAAGUCAGAGGUGAAAGGCUACGGCUCAACCGUAGUAAGCCUUUGGAACUGGGAAACUUGAGUGCAGGAGAGGAGAGUGGAAUUCCUAGUGUAGCGGUGAAAUGCGUAGAUAUUAGGAGGAACACCAGUUGCGAAGGCGGCUCUCUGGACUGUAACUGACACUGAGGCACGAAAGCGUGGGGAGCAAACAGG